This 433-nucleotide ribosomal RNA is filed under the name uncultured bacterium. RNAcentral's name for it is "partial 16S ribosomal RNA". It matches the Rfam family "Bacterial small subunit ribosomal RNA", at positions 29 to 507 of the family's 1533-position model. The record is from RNAcentral.
AACGAACGCUGGCGGCAUGCCUAACACAUGCAAGUCGAACGAGACCUUCGGGUCUAGUGGCGCACGGGUGCGUAACGCGUGGGAACCUGCCCUUAGGUUCGGAAUAACUCCCCGAAAGGGGUGCUAAUACCGGAUAAUGUCUUCGGACCAAAGAUUUAUCGCCUUUGGAUGGGCUCGCGUUGGAUUAGCUAGUUGGUAGGGUAAAAGCCUACCAAGGCGACGAUCCAUAGCUGGUCUGAGAGGAUGAUCAGCCACACUGGGACUGAGACACGGCCCAGACUACUACGGGAGGCAGCAGUGGGGAAUAUUGGACAAUGGGCGAAAGCCUGAUCCAGCAAUGCCGCGUGAGUGAUGAAGGCCUUAGGGUUGUAAAGCUAUUUUACCCGGGAUGAUAAUGACAGUACCGGGAGAAUAAGCUCCGGCUAACUCCGUG